CAGCCGCCGCGGUAAUACGUAGGGUGCAAGCGUUAAUCGGAAUUACUGGGCGUAAAGCGUGCGCAGGCGGUUUUGUAAGACAGAGGUGAAAUCCCCGGGCUCAACCUGGGAACUGCCUUUGUGACUGCAAGGCUAGAGUACGGCAGAGGGGGAUGGAAUUCCGCGUGUAGCAGUGAAAUGCGUAGAUAUGCGGAGGAACACCGAUGGCGAAGGCAAUCCCCUGGGCCUGUACUGACGCUCAUGCACGAAAGCGUGGGGAGCAAACAGGAUUAGAUACCCGGGUAGUCCCUGUCUCUUAUAC
RNAcentral lists this ribosomal RNA (301 nucleotides) under uncultured bacterium. RNAcentral's name for it is "partial 16S ribosomal RNA". It matches the Rfam family "Bacterial small subunit ribosomal RNA", at positions 509 to 807 of the family's 1533-position model. The record is from RNAcentral.